Molecule: ribosomal RNA, 468 nt
Filed under: uncultured bacterium
Lineage: Bacteria
Description: partial 16S ribosomal RNA
Rfam family: Bacterial small subunit ribosomal RNA
Source: RNAcentral
GACGAACGCUGGCGGCGUGCUUAACACAUGCAAGUCGAACGGAAAGGCCCUGCUUUUGUGGGGUGCUCGAGUGGCGAACGGGUGAGUAACACGUGAGUAACCUGCCCUUGACUUUGGGAUAACUUCAGGAAACUGGGGCUAAUACCGGAUAGGAGCUCCUGCUGCAUGGUGGGGGUUGGAAAGUUUCGGCGGUUGGGGAUGGACUCGCGGCUUAUCAGCUUGUUGGGGGGGUAGGGGCUUACCAAGGCUGUGACGGGUAGCCGGCCUGGGAGGGUGACCGGCCACAUUGGGACUGAGAUACGGACCAGACUCCUACGGGAGGCAGCAGUGGGGAAUAUUGCACAAUGGGGGGAAGCGUGAGACAGCAACGCCGCGUGCGUGAAGACGUCUUUCGGGUUGUGAACCGCUUUCGCAGGUGACGAAGCGUGAGUGACGGUAAUGGGUAAAGAAGCACCGGCUAACUACGUG